ACUCUUUCAAUUAUUACAUAUCACAAAUGUAUAGGUUUCCUAAACCUAUUAUCCGUCUUCUCCGCCGCAUAUCUGGUUGCCUCAGCUAUUCUUCUGAUUCAGAAUUUUGAUGCUUCUUCUGUGGUUUAUCAACCAGGUGUUUUUGUCUGCAGCUGCUUUUAUGCUGAUCAACUUUCAAAAGUGUGUUCUCCGCUGGAUGGGAUGAAGCUUCUCAUUUUGUUUUGUGUUGAAGUAAACAGGACCCUGUAUUCUAUCUGAGCUUUGUUUGUCGAAGUGCUGGAGAUACUGGAAUUUUCGGAUCCACUUGCAAGUAGCCUGACCUAUUUUAUCCAGGUGUUUUACUCGCCAACAACUUCCCUGACCUUCUCUUUUUGCCGAAAAUCCUUUUUGAAGGCUGUGGUAAAUUAGGCUAAGAUCUAUCAUUCUCAAAGUAAUGUUGUGUAUUUAUGAACACUAUAGCCUGCUUAGUCCAAUGACUCUCUUGCUGCUCUUAUCCUUAUGUAAGGACACUCUAGUUUGUCACUAUUUAGUAUCUCUCUACCUUGAGACUGUAGUUGAUGAAAGUUUGUGAUUGCAAAAUCUCCUCUGUCAAUGGCAAGAUUUGUUAGAUGAUCUACCAA
This is a long non-coding RNA of Capsicum annuum, 620 nucleotides long. RefSeq lists it as uncharacterized. NCBI's taxonomy places the organism in Eukaryota, Viridiplantae, Streptophyta, Magnoliopsida, Solanales, Solanaceae. The transcript has 3 exons. The record is from RefSeq and is a predicted model, not a curated record.